RNAcentral lists this ribosomal RNA (492 nucleotides) under uncultured bacterium. RNAcentral's name for it is "partial 16S ribosomal RNA". It matches the Rfam family "Bacterial small subunit ribosomal RNA", at positions 29 to 507 of the family's 1533-position model. The record is from RNAcentral.
AGUGAACGCUGGCGGUAGGCCUAACACAUGCAAGUCGAACGGCAGCACAGUAAGAGCUUGCUCUUACGGGUGGCGAGUGGCGGACGGGUGAGGAAUACAUCGGAAUCUACUUUUUCGUGGGGGAUAACGUAGGGAAACUUACGCUAAUACCGCAUACGACCUACGGGUGAAAGCAGGGGAUCUUCGGACCUUGCGCGAUUGAAUGAGCCGAUGUCGGAUUAGCUAGUUGGCGGGGUAAAGGCCCACCAAGGCGACGAUCCGUAGCUGGUCUGAGAGGAUGAUCAGCCACACUGGAGCUGAGACACGGUCCAGGCUCCUACGAGAGGCAGCAGUGGGGAAUAUUAGACAGUGGGCGCAAGCCUGAUCCAGCCAUACCGCGUGGGUGAAGAAGGCCUUCGGGUUGUAAAGCCCUUUUGUUGGGAAUGAAAAGCAGCAGGUUAAUACCCCGCUGUUCUGACGGUACCCAAUGAAUAAGCACCGGCUAACUUCGUG